GAUAAACGCUGACAGAAUGCUUAACACAUGCAAGUCGAUGAUGGGAGCUAGCUUGCUAGAAGAAGUCAUGGCGGACGGGUGAGUAACGUGUAAAGAACUUACCAUAUAGACUGGGAUAACAGAGGGAAACUUCUGAUAAUACUGGAUAAGUUAGUAGUAGCAUUACUAAGUAAUGAAAGGUAGCAAUACGCUAUAUGAGAGCUUUGCAUCCUAUUAGCUAGUUGGUGGGGUAAAAGCCUACCAAGGCGAUGAUAGGUAGCCGGCCUGAGAGGGUGGACAGCCACAAGGGGACUGAGAUACGGCCCUUACUCCUACGGGAGGCAGCAGUGGGGAAUAGUGGACAAUGGAGGCAACUCUGAUCCAGCAAUUCUGUGUGUGUGAAGAAGGUUUUAGGACUGUAAAACACUUUUAGUAGGGAAGAAAGAAAUGACGGUACCUACAGAAGAAGCGACGGCUAAAUACGUG
This 465-nucleotide ribosomal RNA is filed under the name uncultured bacterium. Its description in RNAcentral is "partial 16S ribosomal RNA". It matches the Rfam family "Bacterial small subunit ribosomal RNA", at positions 28 to 507 of the family's 1533-position model. The record is from RNAcentral.